AAGAUAAAAAGACUUUUAGCAUUUAGUUCUAUCGGACAUGUAGGGUACUUAUUGAUAGGUGUUUGUUCAGGCA
Molecule: transfer RNA, 73 nt
Filed under: Prasiola crispa
Lineage: Eukaryota; Viridiplantae; Chlorophyta; Trebouxiophyceae; Prasiolales; Prasiolaceae
Description: tRNA-Ala
Source: RNAcentral